UUACAUUUAUAGCAACAUUAGCAGUAAUAUGGUGUCUUGUUUCCGGCCAACUGACAAAUUGACUGUGCGAAGUUGCUGGAUUGGAACAUUGGAACUGUCGGACACGCCGAUCCAGAGCAUCUCAAACAUGCUCUAUGGGUGACAUGUCUGAGCUUAUGCCAGCCCAUACCGUAACCCCACCGCCACCAUGGGGCACCCACUGGCAUUAACAGACUGGGAUUCAUCUGUGAAGAGAACUUCUCCAAAGUGCCAGAUGCCAUUGAUGGCAAGCAGUUGCCCACUC
This is a long non-coding RNA of Epinephelus moara (kelp grouper), 283 nucleotides long. RefSeq lists it as uncharacterized. NCBI's taxonomy places the organism in Eukaryota, Metazoa, Chordata, Actinopteri, Perciformes, Serranidae. The transcript is spliced from 3 exons. The record is from RefSeq and is a predicted model, not a curated record.